UCAAAAUAGUCAAUUCGCUUGCAAACCUAACCAAUCAGCAUCUUUUGCAAUAAUUAACCACAGCAAAGAAGGAUAGUUUAGCACAAAAAUGUAAAAAAUUAGAAGACAAAGAUGACAGGUUCCCACAAAUAACAAGUGCAAAAACCAGGGUCAAGUAUUCCUUAAUCCGACAGCAAAAUUCUCUGACUCCGUCACUGCAUUUUAAAUCUCUAAUGAACACAAUGCAUUUUAAAUUAACAAAUCAAUCAUACCUCCAUCCACCUACCUAAAAUGCCUUUUGCUUACUUCUUGCUCUUUUUCCCUUCAUUAAAUGCCAAUUAGCAGAUUAAUAUCUUUAGCACUAGCAAAAACCUAUAAUAUGUGUAAAUCAAAAGAAAAAAUGAGCAAUUUUCAAGGAAAUUUAUUAUUUUUAAAUGGAUAGACCCUAGAAAUUCAAGUACCCAAAUAGAAAAUAAAGGGAACAUCUAUUUGGAUUUAUUGACGGCACAAAUCAGUAUGUUAAGCAAACUAUUGAAGAAAAUGGAAACGUAACAGACCUUCUCUUCUUCUUUUUUCCUUCUUUAACAACCUCUUUUCUUCUGUCUUGGCAUCCUCCAGUGGCAAGUGUGGUGGCGGCGGACUCUUCCUUCUUGGAACCCUCCAGUGGCUGCGGUGGUUGGCGAAACUGGGGAGUAUAAAUCAACGCUUCUCUCCAUCUAUUUCUAACUAAAAUCCAUAGGUUUGUUUAAGCAUUAGGCGGAUUGUGACUGAUAUGGCCAGAUUUUUCUCACGAGGCCCCAAAAAAAUUGAGGCCCUAGGCGAUGGCCUUGUUGGCCUUAUGACAGGGCCGGCCCUGCUCUUUCACCACAGACGACAGCACUGGAUUGUUGUAGUCUUGUGGACUUCGUCGGCGCUAGAAAGUAGAAAGGCGGUGGGCGACGAUGCUAUUGAUUUGAAAUCAGAGAAAAGAGAUACACAGUGAGAGAGUUAAGGAGUUAGCGUUAAGGGGAGAAGAUCAACUGUUAAGGGGAAUGAUAGAUAUUUUUC
RNAcentral lists this long non-coding RNA (1026 nucleotides) under Olea europaea (common olive). Its description in RNAcentral is "long non-coding RNA (OEUR_LNC006048)". Lineage: Eukaryota; Viridiplantae; Streptophyta; Magnoliopsida; Lamiales; Oleaceae. The record is from RNAcentral.